AUUGAACGCUGGCGGCAGGCUUAACACAUGCAAGUCGAGCGGGGGGAGGUAGCUUGCUACCGGACCUAGCGGCGGACGGGUGAGUAAUGCUUAGGAAUCUGCCUAUUAGUGGGGGACAACAUCUCGAAAGGGAUGCUAAUACCGCAUACGUCCUACGGGAGAAAGCAGGGGAUCUUCGGACCUUGCGCUAAUAGAUGAGCCUAAGUCGGAUUAGAUAGUUGGUGGGGUAAAGGCCUACCAAGGCGACGAUCUGUAGCGGGUCUGAGAGGAUGAUCCGCCACACUGGGACUGAGACACGGCCCAGACUCCUACGGGAGGCAGCAGUGGGGAAUAUUGGACAAUGGGGGGAACCCUGAUCCAGCCAUGCCGCGUGUGUGAAGAAGGCCUUAUGGUUGUAAAGCACUUUAAGCGAGGAGGAGGCUACUCUAGUUAAUACCUAGGGAUAGUGGACGUUACACGCAGAAUAAGCACCGGCUAACUCUGUGCCAGCCGCCGCGGUAA
Molecule: ribosomal RNA, 501 nt
Filed under: uncultured bacterium
Lineage: Bacteria
Description: partial 16S ribosomal RNA
Rfam family: Bacterial small subunit ribosomal RNA
Source: RNAcentral